This is a long non-coding RNA of Oncorhynchus keta (chum salmon), 278 nucleotides long. RefSeq lists it as uncharacterized. The transcript is spliced from 3 exons. Lineage: Eukaryota; Metazoa; Chordata; Actinopteri; Salmoniformes; Salmonidae. The record is from RefSeq and is a predicted model, not a curated record.
AGCUAUAGCUAAGGCAAACGUGUCAACGUAGCGAAAUGAAGCACAGGAAAAUGACAAGAACACGCAAGGAGAGGUUCUCCAACUGUCCACUUUCUCCAAAGAGAGAUUAGUUUAUCAUUUUAUAAUCUGUAUCAAACUUCAACGAUGUCUCUCGUGGCCAGCGAUAUCCCGACGGACGAAGACCUAGAAGAUCUGGUUGAGGAUGGACUUUCUCUUGCUACCUACAUAUCAGACUCUGGAAAGAAAGCCAGGAAAAGAAGCUGUCUGGUAAACCUCCC